AACGGCGGCCGUAACUAUAACGGUCCUAAGGUAGCGAAAUUCCUUGUCAGGUAAGUUCUGACCCGCAUGAAAGGCGUAAUGAUUUGGGCACUGUCUCAACAGCCCGCCCGGCGAAAUUGUAGUACCGGUGAAGAUGCCGGUUACCCGCGACAAGACGGAAAGACCCCAUGGAGCUUUACUGUAGCCUAAUAUUGGGUUUCGAUGUUGCAUGCACAGGAUAGAUGGGACUCUUGGAAACCAAGGCUUUGGCUUUGGCGGAGAGGCCGUUGGGAUACCAUCCUUGCGAUAUUGGAAUUCUAACCUGCGGCUCUGAAUCGAGUCGGGGGACAUUGUUAGGUGGGCAGUUUGACUGGGGCGGUCGCCUCCUAAAGAGUAACGGAGGCGUUCAAAGGUUCGCUCAGCUUGAACGGAAAUCAAGCAAAAGAGUGCAAACGCAGAAGCGAGCCUAACUGCGAGACUGACGGGUCGAGCAGUAACGAAAGUUGGAGUUAGUGAUCCGGUGGUAUGUGAGUGGAAAUGCCAUCGCUCAACGGAUAAAAGUUACCCUGGGGAUAACAGGCUGAUCUCCCCCAAGAGUCCACAUCGACGGGGAGGUUUGGCACCUCGAUGUCGGCUCAUCGCAUCCUGGGGCUGUAUUCGGUCCCAAGGGUUUGGCUGUUCGCCAAUUAAAGCGGUACGCGAGCUGGGUUCAGAACGUCGUGAGACAGUUCGGUCCCUAUCUGUCGUGGGCGCAGGAUAUUUGAUGGGAGCUGUCCCUAGUACGAGAGGACCGGGACGGACGUACCUCUGGCGCACCAGUUGUUCCGCCAGGAGCAUAGCUGGGCAACUACGUACGGAUCGGAUAAACGCUGAAAGCAUCUAAGCGUGAAGCCGACCCAAAGAUAAGAUAUCCCACUGAUUGAAUCAGGUAAGAUCCCUUGUAGACUACGAGGUUGAUAGGCACGAUGUGUAAGUGGAGCGAUCCAUUCAGCAAGUGUGUACUAAUAGAUCGAGGGCUUGACCAC
This 1004-nucleotide ribosomal RNA is filed under the name human gut metagenome. RNAcentral's name for it is "bacterial LSU rRNA". It matches the Rfam family "Bacterial large subunit ribosomal RNA", at positions 1926 to 2925 of the family's 2925-position model. The record is from RNAcentral.